Molecule: ribosomal RNA, 609 nt
Filed under: uncultured Legionella sp.
Lineage: Bacteria; Pseudomonadati; Pseudomonadota; Gammaproteobacteria; Legionellales; Legionellaceae
Description: bacterial SSU rRNA
Rfam family: Bacterial small subunit ribosomal RNA
Source: RNAcentral
GUUAGCCUGCGUCCGAUUAGCUAGUUGGUGGGGUAAGGGCCUACCAAGGCGACGAUCGGUAGCUGGUCUGAGAGGAUGACCAGCCACACUGGAACUGAGACACGGUCCAGACUCCUACGGGAGGCAGCAGUGGGGAAUAUUGGACAAUGGGGGGAACCCUGAUCCAGCAAUGCCGCGUGUGUGAAGAAGGCCUGAGGGUUGUAAAGCACUUUCAGUAGGGAGGAGGGUUGAUAGGUUAAGAGCUAAUUAACUGGACGUUACCUACAGAAGAAGCACCGGCUAACUCCGUGCCAGCAGCCGCGGUAAUACGGAGGGUGCGAGCGUUAAUCGGAAUUACUGGGCGUAAAGAGUGCGUAGGUGGUUGAUUAAGUUAUCUGUGAAAUCCCUGGGCUUAACCUGGGCAGGUCAGAUGAUACUGAUUGACUCGAGUAUGGGAGAGGGUAGUGGAAUUUCCGGUGUAGCGGUGAAAUGCGUAGAGAUCGGAAGGAACACCAGUGGCGAAGGCGGCUACCUGGCCUAAUACUGACACUGAGGCACGAAAGCGUGGGGAGCAAACAGGAUUAGAUACCCUGGUAGUCCACGCUGUAAACGAUGUCAACUAGCUGUUGG